Molecule: non-coding RNA, 25 nt
Filed under: Cricetulus griseus (Chinese hamster)
Lineage: Eukaryota; Metazoa; Chordata; Mammalia; Rodentia; Cricetidae
Source: RNAcentral
CCGACUUAGGCAUCGCUGCAAGAUC